GCACAUUUUCAGUUUACAUGCACCUCCUGUACAAAUCACUUCCUUUAAAGUUCACAAAACACUCAAUGGGAAAGGCAAGUGCCCCCUCCCCCUCUCUUUCACACCCAAUCCUUCCUGAAAAUAGAGUGUGAUCUAAGGUAUUGGGUGUAACCAACAAAUGAAAGUUCAAAUAGCUCUAAAUGUCCC
Hibiscus syriacus is the source of this 186-nucleotide long non-coding RNA. RefSeq lists it as uncharacterized. The record is from RefSeq and is a predicted model, not a curated record. The transcript has 3 exons. NCBI's taxonomy places the organism in Eukaryota, Viridiplantae, Streptophyta, Magnoliopsida, Malvales, Malvaceae.